UGGGGAAUUUUGGACAAUGGGCGAAAGCCUGAUCCAGCAAUGCCGCGUGUGUGAAGAAGGCCUUCGGGUUGUAAAGCACUUUUGUCCGGAAAGAAAUCCUUGGCUCUAAUACAGUCGGGGGAUGACGGUACCGGAAGAAUAAGCACCGGCUAACUACGUGCCAGCAGCCGCGGUAAUACGUAGGGUGCAAGCGUUAAUCGGAAUUACUGGGCGUAAAGCGUGCGCAGGCGGUUUGCUAAGACCGAUGUGAAAUCCCCGGGCUCAACCUGGGAACUGCAUUGGUGACUGGCAGGCUAGAGUAUGGCAGAGGGGGGUAGAAUUCCACGUGUAGCAAGUGAAAAUGCGUAGAGAUGUGGAGGAAUACCGAUGGCGAAGGCAGCCCCCUGGGCCAAUACUGACGCUCAUGCACGAAAAGCGUGGGGAGCAAAACAGGAUUAGAUACCCUGGUAGUCCACGCCCUAAAACGAUGUC
This 471-nucleotide ribosomal RNA is filed under the name uncultured bacterium. RNAcentral's name for it is "partial 16S ribosomal RNA". It matches the Rfam family "Bacterial small subunit ribosomal RNA", at positions 355 to 813 of the family's 1533-position model. The record is from RNAcentral.